Lucilia cuprina (Australian sheep blowfly) is the source of this 515-nucleotide long non-coding RNA. RefSeq lists it as uncharacterized. The record is from RefSeq and is a predicted model, not a curated record. Lineage: Eukaryota; Metazoa; Arthropoda; Insecta; Diptera; Calliphoridae. The transcript is spliced from 2 exons.
AAUGCAAAAAGUCGAAAAGUCGACUUUUCAUAAAAUGCAAAAAGUCGAAAAGUCGACUUUUCGUUUCAACUAUAGAACCCUAAUUAGUAUGUAGCCAGCAUUAGUGCUUUUUUAAUUUUAUGCUUAUUAAAAUGCUAAAGUUGACAACACUAUACAGAGAGAAAAAGUUCUAUUGGAAAAAAAAUAACAGUGGCGCGCCACUGAGGCACAACACAACUAAAUAAAACUAUUGUUAUUAAUCAUUUAUUAAAACAAAUUUCACGAAACGCUUGAAGCGAGCGCACGCGUUUUUCUCUUGAAAUUUUUUUUAACAAGACAGAAAAAAUACAUAAAAAUUAAAUAAAAAAGAAAAAAAUAUAGAAAAAUUAUAUUUUUUAUAAAAAAAAUAAAAAUCCAUAAAAAAUUUUCAUAUAGAAGUGUGUUGUUAUUGUUGCAAGAAAGAAAAGAAAAUAUUCCAUAAAUAUGAGUGAUAAAUUAGUGAAUAACGGUGGAACUGCCGGUGAGGAAACCACAUC